GACGAACGCUGGCGGCGUGCUUAACACAUGCAAGUCGAACGGAAAGGCCCUGCUUGCAGGGUACUCGAGUGGCGAACGGGUGAGUAACACGUGGGUGAUCUGCCCUGCACUUCGGGAUAAGCUUGGGAAACUGGGUCUAAUACCGGAUAGGAGCCAUCUUUAGUGUGGUGGUUGGAAAGUUUUUUCGGUGUAGGAUGAGCUCGCGGCCUAUCAGCUUGUUGGUGGGGUAAUGGCCUACCAAGGCGGCGACGGGUAGCCGGCCUGAGAGGGUGUACGGCCACAUUGGGGCUGAGAUACGGCCCAGACUCCUACGGGAGGCAGCAGUGGGGAAUAUUGCACAAUGGGCGCAAGCCUGAUGCAGCGACGCCGCGUGGGGGAUGAAGGCCUUCGGGUUGUAAACUCCUUUCGCUAGGGACGAAGCUUUUUUGUGACGGUACCUAGAGAAGAAGCACCGGCUAACUACGUG
This 466-nucleotide ribosomal RNA is filed under the name uncultured bacterium. RNAcentral's name for it is "partial 16S ribosomal RNA". It matches the Rfam family "Bacterial small subunit ribosomal RNA", at positions 28 to 507 of the family's 1533-position model. The record is from RNAcentral.